CCUACGGGUGGCAGCAGUGAGGAAUAUUGGUCAAUGGGCGCGAGCCUGAACCAGCCAAGUCGCGUGAGGGAAGACGGUCCUAUGGAUUGUAAACCUCUUUUGUCGGGGAGCAAAAGACGCCACGCGUGGCGUUCCGAGAGUACCCGAAGAAAAAGCAUCGGCUAACUCCGUGCCAGCAGACGCGGUAACACGGAGGAUUCGAGCGUUAUCCGGAUUUAGUGGGUGUAAAGGGUGCGCAGGCGGAAGAUCAAGACAGCGGUAAAAUUGAGAGGCUCAACCUCUUCGAGCCGUUGAAACUGGUUUUCUUGAGUGAGUGAGAAGUAUGCGGAAUGCGUGGUGUAGCGGUGAAAUGCAUAGAUAUCACGCAGAACUCCGAUUGCGAAGGCAGCAUACCGGCGCUCAACUGACGCUCAUGCACGAAAGUGUGGGUAUCGAACAGGAUUAGAUACCCCUGUAGUC
RNAcentral lists this ribosomal RNA (459 nucleotides) under uncultured bacterium. RNAcentral describes it as "partial 16S ribosomal RNA". It matches the Rfam family "Bacterial small subunit ribosomal RNA", at positions 338 to 795 of the family's 1533-position model. The record is from RNAcentral.